Ylistrum balloti is the source of this 209-nucleotide long non-coding RNA. RefSeq lists it as uncharacterized. The transcript is spliced from 3 exons. Lineage: Eukaryota; Metazoa; Mollusca; Bivalvia; Pectinida; Pectinidae. The record is from RefSeq and is a predicted model, not a curated record.
UAUGUGAUCUCUUGACCUCCACUAAUACACAUCUCUGUGUGUAUAUGUGUACAAGGAGGACAUGUAAGUUACAGGAUACAAUUCUGAUGAAAUCUGAUGGCAAUCAGCGAGUGAUAAUGCCAAUUUUAAAAAGAUUAUACCGAGCAUUCCCUGAAUGGUUCAGCUGAUCUGACCACUGACACAGCUGUGCCUGCAAACUAAAGCCUGCC